Molecule: long non-coding RNA, 3574 nt
Filed under: Xyrichtys novacula (pearly razorfish)
Lineage: Eukaryota; Metazoa; Chordata; Actinopteri; Labriformes; Labridae
Source: RNAcentral
GGCGAAGCGAAAUGACGACUUCAGCAGAAGUCUGCAGCGCUGAAUAUCCAUACCGCAUUAGCCUAGAUAAAAUAUCACAAUGGAGGGAAAAAGGGAGCGGGAUGUGUUUUUCUAAUGAGUUUGUUUGUUUCAAGUGUUCGCACAAUAAGAAGGAGUUAAUUCUACAUACAGGGAGAAUAAACGCACCUGCUGUUGUCUGUGUGGCGUGUGUGGAAUUGGGAAUGUUGGAGGAGACGAGGCCGAUAGUGUGGACGGAGGAGAACGCUGCACCAAAAAACAAGGUGUGUGGAUUUUUUGGAGGCCAGAGGAGUAACAGGAGGAGACCCGUUUGUUUUGUGCAGUGAUGGUUACAUGCUGAAUGUUGACCUUAUCGAUUCUUAUAUUUUAUUGCACAUGUGUAAAAGCAACGUAACAUCAAUGCUCUGAGAGGGAAAGUCAGCACUAACUCACAUCGAACUUUACUGAUAAAAAAAUGAGCAGGAGGAGCAAAAAGGGGGAAAGCGUAAGAGCUUGUCAAGUGAGAGGUAGGGGAGAAUUCAACAACAAAAGAUGUAACUUCUGACAAACACAAGAGUGUAAACAGAGAGAAGAACGGAGCGAAAAACGUGAUACAAGGGCGAAUAAAUAUGAUAACGUAUGGUUCAUGGUCAGAAUUAGACGCAAUGACUCUGCAUUACUUUUUUGACUCAGCAGAAACUGGAUGAUGACUUGUUUUUGAAGCUAGUGCAGUUUCUACUAUGACUUGGUAGACUGUUCCAGCAGUGAGUUUUUCUGAAUCUGGUGGAAAACUGAGAAAAAGUCUUCCUGAAAAAAAAAGCCUUGGAUGAAGUUUUUUGGCUGAUCUUGUCCAAUAAGGAUGAACUAGAGUACAUUUUGAAAGAAUCAUGAGUAAGCGGUGAGUAAAUUCAAUGACAAAAAGAAAAAAAAUGCAAACGGUGCGGAUGAAAGCUGGGGAUGAUUUGUAACUGGAAUAAGAACUACGGCACUUAAUAAUGAACACUUUCUGCAGGGAGACAUACCAAAGAGGUGAUCUUUGCAGGUGCUAGUCUAAACAAUAUUACAGUCAGGGAUAGUGUAAUAGAUCAUCGUAUCAGACAGAUUUAAGCUGUAAAUAAGUAACAGAUGCCUUAAACUUCGGAUGACUCCUUUAUCCCUUACCGUUUUACUAACACUUUUGCAAUUUUUACAGGUGAACUUCUCAUCAGUGAGAACUCUGAGAAAUGCUGAAACACUUUUUAUAUUAUUAGUUAUCUGUAUUUUAGGAUGGUAAUUUUUUGCUCAAUGGCCUCUAUAGGUGUAAAUAUCAUUAUGCACUUUUAUUUAAAUAAUAUUUUGUUUUCUUUAAACCAAGUUUAUAUUGUGGCCUGGUCUAUAGGCGAUAACUUAGUUAUUAGUCAUUACUAAUUAAUUAAUCUUUGAUUAAUUGUUUAAAAAUGAUUUUUGUUCUUACUUUUUAUUUUUUGUAGCUUUAUAUGAUUAAAAAAAUUCUUAACAAAGUAACCAAGAGUUUCACAAAAAACCUGCAUCAAACAAAACAUUCAGAUGGACAAUAAUUAUAUGGGUAUAAAAGUCUGUCCAAAAGCAAAGAAAGUUUUAAGAACUGGUGUGAAAGUGGAGUCAGACUUUCUUUAUUUUUAUUGCACAAGGACAACAAAACUGAGGUCAAAGCUCCUCAAAGCUCUUCUUUUAAAUGAUCAAGAGUCAAAAUCUCAGAGAUCUCAGAGAAAACUGUAUUCACAGAGCACUAAGAGGAGUAGCUUUAUUUUUAAAUGCAAAAAGCAGUGAGCAUAGAAAGUUUGGUAUCUCUGUUUAGGAGGUGACAUAAAAAGUCUUUAUUUCACCAGAGAUAAAUCUGUAAUGAGAUUAAAAACUGUCUUUUAGGGGCCUUAACUUGAGUGCAGAGAGCAUACUGUUGCAGAAAAGUCACACAUAACCAAAACUAACACAGUUUUCAACCAAUAUAAUCAAGUGGAUGCAGUUUGCAAGGAUGCAAUACAAGUGGUUGGAUGUGUUGGAUUCUUACCAACGGGUUAGAAAAAAAAAUUAAAUACAAGCAAUCAGCAAGACCAAAAACACUUUCUCUUUAUUCUUUAAACGACUUAAAUCCCUGAAAAUAAUCAGUGUAUCUCCAAUUAACCGAGGAUUUGAAAAAACAGUUCUUGAUACACUGUUUGAUUAUCAAAUCAAUAGUUCCACCCACACAGUCAGGUCUUUCUAAAUGCAUACAUGCAACUCACUUCCUUCUGAAUCCUUCGACCUUAAUUGUGCAGCAUGUCCAAUGUAAUUGAAUUGUUCUGCAGGCAGAGCUGCAGCAUUAUGCAUUAUAGUUAUUACUGCACUGUUUUCUAUGCAUGUAAAACCAAUUACAACACAUGUAAUUAGGCCGUGUGUCUAUUAAUAACUCCUAACAAAUACUGGUGUUAGAUAUAAGCAGUCGCUUUUAAUAAGAAGUAGAAAUGUCACAAUUAAAGCUCUCCUGCUUCUCCUCCAGGCCCUGUGAACCUUUCAUGAGCAGGACACAUCGUCCUCUACUGGCCGCAGAGAGAAUUACAGCUGACCCUGCCUCCUGCAGACGACCUGGCAGGGAACAAAGAGGCAGCGCUGUGCCAAAGAGGCCUAUCGCGCUCUGCUCCAGAGGGGAGGAAGAGAGGGGAAGGUUUCCAGUGAGGGGGAGGACAGGGUGAAGGGGAGGAUCCAGCAUGCUGGGGCAUUGCAGCGGUCGACUCCGAGCUGAACGGGGGCAAAGUGUUUCAGCGUGUGGAGUGAGUACGAUAGGGAAGGAUGGUGCUAGAAGUUGGUACUGAGGGGUGGGCUGGUAAGACAUCUGUCAUCCUGCCAUCAGUGCUGUCACAUCAGAGGACAAAUGGGCUGCUGGGUUUUUACAGCCCAAAAGCACGGGAUGGCAAAAGGUAUCAGUUAGCAUGUGAUCUCUUCCUGCUCUUUUGUGCCGUUUUCAAUAAGCGUCGGCCACUGUGCUCCUCCUCAUCAAAGGGCGAGAGAAAAGGCUGAAAAAUGGUUACAAAGUGAGGGCAAACGAAUAUCUGUCAAAUCCGAACGAAAACUCCGGAUCAGCUCAGCAUCAUGGAGCUGUUCUGCAUGCGAGCGUCCUUGGCUGAGGCCCAAAGCCACGUUCAGGGGGUCUGGAAGUCCCGCUUCCGAGCGAGGACGAAGAGUGAGUGAAGGGAGAGUGGCAUAUUUAAUUUCCCCCUCCUCUACCCCAUCACGCCGCCAUCCCCCCUUUUGUUUUUUUGCCGGCGCCGCAGCACCGAGGCAAGGUCUUCCAUAAUGACACCUUGACUGUGAAGAACUUCAUCCACUCCGCCGCGCUAUCUGGCGCCCGCGUGACAAGACGGCUGGCUUUGUUGCCAGGAGAGUGGAAGAGAGCUUUGAACUGCAGACUGACAGCGCAGGGGAAGCCGUUCCAGGCGUAAAUGUAAAUUACUAUUACUUACACGUUUAACCCAGCACCUACAAAACCCCCAACACACACACACACACACACACACACACACCUCACCCCAUCCUCUUCCCAGUUCACUGACUUGCACUGGGCUAGGGAAGGAGGCAGUGGUAG